ACAGCAGCAGCCGCGGUAAUACGAAGGGUGCAAGCGUUACUCGGAAUUACUGGGCGUAAAGCGUGCGUAGGCGGUGAGUUAAGUCUGCUGUGAAAUCCCCGGGCUCAACCUGGGAAUGGCAGUGGAUACUGGCUCGCUAGAGUGUGUCAGAGGAUGGUGGAAUUCCCGGUGUAGCGGUGAAAUGCGUAGAGAUCGGGAGGAACAUCAGUGGCGAAGGCGGCCAUCUGGGACAACACUGACGCUGAGGCACGAAAGCGUGGGGAGCAAACAGGAUUAGAGACCCCCGUAGUCCCUGUCUCUUAUAC
RNAcentral lists this ribosomal RNA (305 nucleotides) under uncultured bacterium. RNAcentral's name for it is "partial 16S ribosomal RNA". It matches the Rfam family "Bacterial small subunit ribosomal RNA", at positions 505 to 807 of the family's 1533-position model. The record is from RNAcentral.